AGAGUUUGAUCAUGGCUCAGAGUGAACGCUGGCGGCAGGCCUAAUACAUGCAAGUCGAACGGCAGCACAGCAGAGCUUGCUCUGUGGGUGGCGAGUGGCGGACGGUGAGGAAUACGUGGGGAUCUGCCCAGUCGUGGGGAUAACGUAGGGAAACUUACGCUAAUACCGCAUGCGCCCUUCGGGGGAAAGCCGGGGACCUUCGGGCCUGGCGCGAUUGGAUGAGCCCACGUCGGACUAGCUAGUUGGCGGGUAAAGGCCCACCAAGGCGACGAUCCGUAGCUGGUCUGAGAGGAUGAUCAGCCACACUGGAACUGAGACACGGUCCAGACUCCUACGGGAGGCAGCAGUAGGGAAUAUUGGACAAUGGGCGCAAGCCUGAUCCAGCCAUGCCGCGUGAGGGAAGAAGGCCCUCGGGUUGUAAAGCUCUUUUGUCCGGAAAGAAAAGCGCCGGGUUAAUACCCUGGUGUCCUGACGGUACCGGAAGAAUAAGCACCGGCUAACUUCGUG
This 507-nucleotide ribosomal RNA is filed under the name uncultured bacterium. RNAcentral describes it as "bacterial SSU rRNA". It matches the Rfam family "Bacterial small subunit ribosomal RNA", at positions 8 to 507 of the family's 1533-position model. The record is from RNAcentral.